This 398-nucleotide RNase P RNA is filed under the name Alphaproteobacteria bacterium. Its description in RNAcentral is "RNase P RNA component class A". It matches the Rfam family "Bacterial RNase P class A". Rfam says of the family: Ribonuclease P (RNase P) is a ubiquitous endoribonuclease, found in archaea, bacteria and eukarya as well as chloroplasts and mitochondria. Its best characterised activity is the generation of mature 5'-ends of tRNAs by cleaving the 5'-leader elements of precursor-tRNAs. The record is from RNAcentral. Lineage: Bacteria; Pseudomonadati; Pseudomonadota; Alphaproteobacteria.
CCAGAAGGCUGGACGGCCGCGCCGGGCACCCUGCCCGGCGAGGAAGGUCCGGGCUCCACGGAGGAACGGUGCCGGGUAACGCCCGGCGGGGGCGACCCCAGGGAAAGUGCCACAGAAAACAAACCGCCGGCCCUCCGGGCCCGCCCGCCGGCCGGCAAGGGUGAAACGGGGCGGUAAGAGCGCCCCGCGGCUUCGGCAACGGAGCCGGCAGGGCAAACCCCACCGGGAGCAAGACCGAAUAGGAGCGGCAGGCCGGGGCAAACCGCCCCGGCCGGCGUCCUCCGCGUCGCCGCUCGGGUUGGUCGCACGAGGCGUCCGGCAACGGACGUCCCAGACGAAUGGUCGUCGCCGCCCGGAAACGGGCGGUACAGAACCCGGCCUACAGGCCUUCUGGAUCG